Molecule: long non-coding RNA, 1088 nt
Filed under: Lactuca sativa (garden lettuce)
Lineage: Eukaryota; Viridiplantae; Streptophyta; Magnoliopsida; Asterales; Asteraceae
Description: long non-coding RNA (LSAT_LNC010342)
Source: RNAcentral
GGAAAGUUGCCUAAAAUGCUUUAUGUGCUAAAUGUUAUAUGUUGCCAUAUAUGAUAUUAUUUGUUCGGAUCUAUGGUCUGUUGCCGACCGGAUCUAGAAACCUUAUGUGUGUAGGAUUCUAAGCGUACGUCUACGAUAUUAGAACUAGCAUGUAAACGUUUCGGAGUGAUAAGGAUGAUUUGAAUAUCUAUCAUGAUUGAGGAUCUAAUUUCACCUUAUUCGGUGUAGAUCAAAAUGGUGAGAACAAGAAGUGGAGUUGGAAAUGCUGACGAAAACAGGAAUCAACCACCAGUGAUUGAGCCAAUACCUGUCGUAGCAGCAGCACCUGAGCCAAUAACCAUGGCUGGUGUGCAAUUGAUGAUUCAGACGAUGUUGGANUUCACCUUAUUCGGUGUGUAGAUCAAAAUGGUGAGAACCAGAAGUGGAGUUAGAAAUGCUGACGAAAACAGGAAUCAACUACCAGUGAUUGAGCAAGUACCUGUCGUAGCAGCAGCACCUGAGCCAAUAACCAUGGCUGGUGUGCAAAUGAUGAUUCAGACGAUGUUGGAUCGUCAGAUGGAUGAAACUAGACGGUUGCUUCAAAAGAAUCGUGAAGAACUGUCAAUUCGUGUGGAGGAGCCUGAAUUAAAUGAAGGGCACUCGGAAGGUGGAAACUUCAGUGGGUCUGUUGGUCAAGCCAACCCACCGAUAGUUAGGCAAGACAACCAUGAUGGAAGGAAUGAUGGAAUGGGAUGCAAGUACAAGGACUUUCUAACUUGCAAACCAUCGACCUUCAAUGGAAAGGAGGAUCCGAUUGGGGUUAUGGAUUGGAUCUCCGAAAUGGAGUUAGCCUUUAUGACAUGUGGCUGUAGAGGCAAGUUGCAGACUAUCUAUGCCAUGCAUCAGGUCCGAGGUGGAGCCGUUCAUUGGUGGAACACUCUAGGGAAGACGUUAAGCCCUAAUGAGCCACUACAAUUGACAUGGGCAGAGUUCUUGGUGCAGUUCAAGCGCAAGUUCUGCUCGGCUCAAAAUCUGUUGGAGUUGGAGAAUAAGUUUUUGGCAUUGACGAAAGGCAGCAUGUCAGUUGAUGAUUACACCAAUAACUUCAC